UACGAAGGGAGCUAGCGUUGUUCGGAAUCACUGGGCGUAAAGCGCACGUAGGCGGAUGUGUCAGUCAGGGGUGAAAUCCCGGAGCUCAACUUCGGAACUGCCUUUGAUACAGCACAUCUGGAGUCCGGAAGAGGUGGGUGGAAUUCCUAGUGUAGAGGUGAAAUUCGUAGAUAUUAGGAAGAACACCGGUGGCGAAGGCGGCCCACUGGUCCGGUACGGACGCUGAGGUGCGAAAGCAUGGGGAGCGAACAGG
Molecule: ribosomal RNA, 253 nt
Filed under: uncultured bacterium
Lineage: Bacteria
Description: partial 16S ribosomal RNA
Rfam family: Bacterial small subunit ribosomal RNA
Source: RNAcentral